RNAcentral lists this ribosomal RNA (477 nucleotides) under Candidatus Brocadia fulgida. Its description in RNAcentral is "bacterial SSU rRNA". It matches the Rfam family "Bacterial small subunit ribosomal RNA", at positions 365 to 832 of the family's 1533-position model. The record is from RNAcentral. Lineage: Bacteria; Pseudomonadati; Planctomycetota; Candidatus Brocadiia; Candidatus Brocadiales; Candidatus Brocadiaceae.
UUCGCAAUGCCCGAAAGGGUGACGAAGCGACGCCGCGUGCGGGAAGAAGGCCUUCGGGUUGUAAACCGCUGUCGGGAGUUAAGAAAUGCAAGGGUGUUAACAGCAUCUUUGCUUGACUAAGGCUCCGGAGGAAGCCACGGCUAACUCUGUGCCAGCAGCCGCGGUAAUACAGAGGCGGCAAGCGUUGUUCGGAAUUAUUGGGCGUAAAGAGCACGUAGGCGGCCGUGCAAGUCUGUUGUGAAAGCCUUCCGCUCAACGGAAGAACUGCAGCAGAUACUGCAUGGCUAGAGUGCGGGAGGGGAGAGUGGAACUUCUGGUGGAGCGGUGAAAUGCGUAGAUAUCAGAAGGAACGCCGGCGGCGAAAGCGACUCUCUGGCCCGUAACUGACGCUGAGUGUGCGAAAGCUAGGGGAGCAAACGGGAUUAGAUACCCCGGUAGUCCUAGCCGUAAACGAUGGGCACUAAGUAGAGGGGUUUU